UCGAGCGAGAAAGGCCUUCGGGCUGAGUACAGCGGCGGACGGGUGAGUAACGCGUAGGAAUCUACCUGGUAGUGGGGGACAACAUGGGGAAACCCAUGCUAAUACCGCAUACGCCCUAUGGGGGAAAGCGGGGGACCUUCGGGCCUCGCGCUAUCAGAUGAGCCUGCGUAGGAUUAGCUUGUUGGUGAGGUAAAGGCUCACCAAGGCGACGAUCCUUAGCUGGUCUGAGAGGAUGAUCAGCCACACUGGGACUGAGACACGGCCCAGACUCCUACGGGAGGCAGCAGUGGGGAAUAUUGCGCAAUGGGCGAAAGCCUGACGCAGCCAUGCCGCGUGUGUGAAGAAGGCCUUCGGGUUGUAAAGCACUUUCAAUUGGGAAGAAAGGUUGUUGUCUAAUACGCAACAGCUGUGACGUUACCUUUAGAAGAAGCACCGGCUAACUCCGUGCCAGCAGCCGCGGUAAUACGGAGGGUGCGAGCGUUAAUCGGAAUUACUGGGCGUAAAGCGCGCGUAGGCGGUUUGUUAAGUCGGAUGUGAAAGCCCUGGGCUCAACCUGGGAACUGCAUACGAUACUGGCCGACUAGAGUACGAGAGAGGGAGGUAGAAUUCCACGUGUAGCGGUGAAAUGCGUAGAUAUGUGGAGGAAUACCGGUGGCGAAGGCGGCCUCCUGGCUCGAUACUGACGCUGAGGUGCGAAAGCGUGGGUAGCAAACAGGAUUAGAUACCCUGGUAGUCCACGCCGUAAACGAUGUCUACUAGCCGUUGGGAGACUUGAUUUCUUAGUGGCGCAGCUAACGCACUAAGUAGACCGCCUGGGGA
This 819-nucleotide ribosomal RNA is filed under the name Haliea alexandrii. Its description in RNAcentral is "bacterial SSU rRNA". It matches the Rfam family "Bacterial small subunit ribosomal RNA", at positions 62 to 879 of the family's 1533-position model. The record is from RNAcentral. Lineage: Bacteria; Pseudomonadati; Pseudomonadota; Gammaproteobacteria; Cellvibrionales; Halieaceae.